Molecule: signal recognition particle RNA, 299 nt
Filed under: Aotus nancymaae (Ma's night monkey)
Lineage: Eukaryota; Metazoa; Chordata; Mammalia; Primates; Aotidae
Description: Metazoan signal recognition particle RNA (ENSANAG00000011839.1)
Rfam family: Metazoan signal recognition particle RNA
About the family: The signal recognition particle (SRP) is a universally conserved ribonucleoprotein. It is involved in the co-translational targeting of proteins to membranes.
Source: RNAcentral
GCCAGGCACAGUGGCUUAUGCCUGUAGUCCCAGCUACUCAGGAGGCUGAGGCUAGAGGAUCGCUUGAGCACAGGAGUUCUGGGCUGUAGUGCACUAUGCCAAUAGGGUGUCCGCACUAAGUUCAGCAUCAAUAUGGUGACCUCCUAGGAGCGGGGGACCACCAGGUUGCCUAAGGAGGGAUGAACUAGACCAGGUCGGAAACCGAGCAGGUCAAAACUCCCAUGCUGAUCAGUAGUGAGAUCGUGCCUAUGAAUAGCCACUGCACUCCAGCCUGGGCAACAUAGUGAGAUCCUGUCUCU